Molecule: long non-coding RNA, 3550 nt
Filed under: Salvia miltiorrhiza (redroot sage)
Lineage: Eukaryota; Viridiplantae; Streptophyta; Magnoliopsida; Lamiales; Lamiaceae
Description: long non-coding RNA (SMIL_LNC006571)
Source: RNAcentral
GAAGAAGAAGAAGAAGAAGAAGAAGAAGAAGGAGGAGGAGGUUGCGCCUGCGAUUUGGGGAGGAGUCGCGGCGAGGCACGGCGAGGCUGCGGCGGAGGCGUGCGUGGGCGUGCUGGAGAGAAACGGCGGCGCGCGACGGAGGCAGAUCUGGGCGGCCACGGCGACGGGAUCUGUGGCUGUGGCGACGGCGCCAGCGCGGCGGAGGCGGAGACACCCUGGAGGGCGGCGGAGGCGCUUUGAGAGAGAGAGAGAGAGAUGGGGAGAGGCUGCAAGUUUUUUUGGGGGGAGAGGCUGCGAUUUUUUAUUUUUUUUUGGGAGAGAUGAUUUGUUUGGUAUUUUCUUUUUGUUUUAAGGGUAUCUUAGUCAUUUCAACCUCAAAAUGGGUACAUUUUAUAUGUUUAAUUUUGGGUGGGUACAUUUUAUGUUCAUUUUUUAAAUAGGGUAAAAAACACCAUUAACCCUAUUUGUGAAUUGGUAUUAAGAAAAUUCACAAUCUUUAAUCGUUUUGUAAUUUGAACUUAUAUAUUAGUAGUAUCUUUUUAAUAGCAAUGUUAACAAAUGGGCUCUUGAAUCUUAAGUUUAUGUAUUGCUAUAAUUUCUAAUAGCAUGAAAAACAUAACAUCAUAGGGAUUUGUUUUUUUUUUUUUUCAUUUCAUUUUAUGGGAUCUAGCGCUGCACAUGAAAUUGAAAUGACAAUUGGAACUUCAUUACCAAAUACUGGAAUAGAACAAGAAAUGUCCAAGGUUUGAACCACUAUUUUAUUUUAGGGAUAACUAAAUGCAUGAAUUUUCAUCCAAUUUUGAUUUUACACCUGAAUUACAAAAUCUACUUAUAAAUGAAAAAAAAAUAAUUAUUUUGAUUUUCACACUACUAUCGAUUUGUGAAGAGAUAAGUUGAUGUCAUUAUAGAUAGUUUGAAGUGACAUAAAUAUUCAGUUAUAUUGUUUACUACAUCGAUCAUUUAAGCUUUGUAGACAUUUUAAACGUUUGCAUCAAUAUUUAAUUUGAGGGCAUAUCAAUUUACAAUCUCAUAAAAAUAAAAAUUUAUAUAUUUGAAGAUAAUUUUUUAAUUCAUGUAUAAAAUUAAAAUUAGUAAUAAUUCAUGUUUUCAAAUUCAAGCAUAAUUAUUUUUUGAUUUUCGUCAAUCGGAUGAAGGAUGUAUGUAUAAGUUUUAGUCGAAUUUAAUAUAUUUGUUGUCCUUGACAAAAUUGGAAUUAACAAAUUCAGGUGUCGGUUUUUUUUUUCAAUUAUAAGAAGUAUUUAUCAUAUUAUCAAAAAAGUAACUUGCACGCAGACGAGAUAUAUAGAGAUAUAUACACUAUAUAAAAGUGAGAAAAUAAUCGUACGCAAAUAAAAUCACUAUCUACAUAAAAAUAAAAAACUACCCUCAUACGAAUGAAAUUGAAUCCAGAACCUCUUAUAAAGGUGAAUCUUUAGAUGGCUCGUAUUUUGCCACUUAAACUAGGCCUUAUUGGCAAGAUCGAUUUUAUUAAAUAACUAAAUAUUUUUAAUUAUUUUUUCAGCCUAGCCUUGAUAAAUAUCUUACAUUCGUGACUCAAUCAGUCAAUUGUCAGAUUUUCUUUGGCUUUUUUUUUUUUUCCGAUUUCAAUGAUAGGGAUAAUUAAAUACCAGUCAAAUUGCAAUAUUCUUCUUCAGUGGAAAUCCACCGAAUUUGGUCCCACAUUUAAAUACAAAAGUAUUUUCGAUUCUAUAAUAUAUUAAAGAAGUUAUUUUUUUAAUUUAAAAUUUAAUUUCAAAUCAAUUUAAAAAUUGAAUUGAUAACUUUAUAGUUAUAAUAAAAUCAAAAAUUUUAUUUGUAAAUUUACUGCUCCAUCCGUUAACGAUACGUUGGCGUGGAUGGAGGGCACAUAUUUUAAAAAAUAAUAAAAAGUGUGUAUAAAAUGGAGAUAGAGUCUCACCAACAUUGAAUUGUUAGAUAAUUAAAUAAUGGUUGUGAGAUGAAGUUUUUGUAAAUAUUGUGUGUGAAUGUGAGUAAAAGUAUAAAGGUAUAUUUCUUAAAAUGGGAAAGACCACACUUAUUGUGGACGGACGAAAAUGACAAAAAGACCACACUUAUCGAAAACGAAGGGAGUAUUAUUUUUCUUUUUAUUUUCUUUUUUAACUUUUUAUUUUUUGUUUUAUUUCUUUUCAAAAUUGUGAAAUUUCAUUAAUCAUAAAAUAUAUAAUAUGCAUAUCGAAUUAAAAUAACGAUAAGAGCUUUAAUUUGAUAUAUUUUAUGUAAAUAUUUGAUUUAAAAUGUAAAAUUAUAUUUUUUUAAUGUUAAAAUUUUUAAAAAUUAUUUCUCCUCACAAUUUUUUUUUCAAUAAAUCUAUUUUUUAAUUCUUCUUUAUUACUCCCUCCGUCCGCCAAAAGUAGACCAUUUUUACUAUAUUGGGCGUCCGCAAAGAGUAUACCACUUUCCUUUUAUGGAAAUGGUCCCCACCACCCACUUUAAUCUUUUAUCCUUACAAACACUCUUUAUUUACAAAAACCCCCACCCCAAAUUCAAUAUCAACCACACAUCUCAUAAAGUGGUGGGACCCUUUGUCNGAAAGAGGCAAAAUGGGAUAUACCCUUUUUGAAAGAUGAAACAUAAAAUGUACCCACUUUUUUUAAAACAAUAAAAUCUACCCACUUAAGACAUUUUUACCCCUAUGUGUAAUUCGCGCAUUGCUCACAUUGCUCGACACUGAAGCGUCGAGCAUUCAACUGUCGAGCAUCGAGCAUGUCGAGCAAUAGUUCAAAUUGAACUAUUGCUCGACGCUUCGACGCCUCGAGCAUCGAGUGUCGAGCAAUUAAGAACUGUCGAGCAUGUCGAGCAAUAGUUCAUAUGUCGAGCAAGACGAGCAAUAGUUCAAUUGAACUAUUGCUCGACAUUAAGUGGAGUGUCGAGCAAUGUGAACUGUCGAGCACUGAACAUUUUUGGCGUAAAUUCAAAAAUCAAACUUCAGAUCUUGGCACAAUUUCAAAAAUCAAAACUUCAGAUCGGAAAUCGUGCGACUUCAGAUCGAAAAUCGUGCAGGUGGGGGAAGUCGGUGGAGAGUGAGAAGAAGAAGAAGGAGGAGGUUGCGCCUGCGAUUUGGGGAGGAGUCGCGGCGAGGCUGCGGCGGAGGCGUGCGUGGGCGUGCUGGAGAGAAACGGCGGCGCGCGACGGAGGCAGAUCUGGGCGGCCACGGCGACGGGAUCUGUGGCUGUGGCGACGGCGCCAGCGCGGCGGAGGCGGAGACACCCUGGAGGGCGGCAGAGGCGCUUUGAGAGAGAGAGAGAGAGAUGGGGAGAGGCUGCAGGUUUUUUUGGGGGGAGAGGCUGCGAUUUUUUAUUUUUUUUGGGAGAGAUGAUUUGUUUGGUAUUUUCUUUUUGUUUAAGGGUAUCUUAGUCAUUUCAACCUCAAAAUGGGUACAUUUUAUAUGUUUAAUUUGGGUGGUACAUUUUAUGUUCAUUUUUUAAAUAGGGUAAAAAACACCAUUAACCCUAUUUGUGAAUUGGUAUUAAGAAAAUUCACAAUCUUUAAUCGUUUUGUAAUUUGAACUUAUAUAUUAGUAGUAUCUUUU